CGCGUAGGCGGCUCUUCAAGUCAAAGGUGAAAUCCCUCGGCUCAACCGGGGAACUGCCUUUGAUACUGUCGAGCUUGAGUCCCGGAGAGGGUAGCGGAAUUCCGAGUGUAGCGGUGAAAUGCGUAGAUACUCGGAGGAACACCCGUGGCGAAGGCGGUUACCUGGACGGGUACUGACGCUGAGGCGCGAAAGCUAGGGGAGCAAACAGGAUUAGAUACCCUGGUAGUCC
RNAcentral lists this ribosomal RNA (229 nucleotides) under uncultured bacterium. RNAcentral describes it as "partial 16S ribosomal RNA". It matches the Rfam family "Bacterial small subunit ribosomal RNA", at positions 568 to 796 of the family's 1533-position model. The record is from RNAcentral.